Long non-coding RNA from Oreochromis aureus, 987 nucleotides. The record is from Ensembl. Lineage: Eukaryota; Metazoa; Chordata; Actinopteri; Cichliformes; Cichlidae.
UCAGCCAGCAGCACAGGCCCUGAUGUAAUGUGGAUGGUAUCAGCCAGCACCACAGGCUCUGGUGAAAUGUAGAUGACGUCAGCCAGCAGCGCAGGCCCUGGUGUAAUGUGGAUGGAAUCAGCCAGCAGCGCAGGCCCUGGUAUAAUGUGGAUGGCCUCGGCCAGCACCACAGGGCCUGGUGUGUUGAAGAUGGCCUCAGCCAGAAGCACUGGCCCAGGUGUAAUGUGGAUGGCUUCAGCCAGCACCGCAGGCCCUGGUGAAAUGUAGAUGGCAUCAGCCAGCACCACAGGCUCUGGUGAAAUGUAGAUGACGUCAGCCAGCAGCGCAGGCCCUGGUAUAAUGUGGAUGGCCUCGGCCAGCACCACAGGGCCUGGUGUGGUGAAGACGGCCUCAGCCAGAAGCACUGGCCCUGGUGUAAUGUGGAUGGCUUCAGCCAGCACCGCAGGCCCUGGUGAAAUAUAGAUGGCAUCAGCCAGCACCACAGGCCCUGGUGUGGUGAAGAUGGCCUCACAGGAAGCACAGGCUCUGGUGUAAUGUGGAUGGCAUCAGCCAGCAGCACAGGCCCUGGUGUGGUGAAGAUGGCCUCACAGGAAGCACAGGCCCUGGUGUGAUAUGGAUGGUAUCAGCCAGCACCACAGGCUCUGGUGAAAUGUAGAUGACGUCAGCCAGCAGCGCAGGCCCUGGUGUGGUGAAGAUGGCCUCACAGGAAGCACUGGCUCUGGUGUAAUAUGGAUGGUAUCAGCCAGCAGCACAGGCUCUGGUGAAAUGUAGAUGACGUCAGCCAGCAGCGCAGGCCCUGGUGUAAUGUGGAUGGCAUCAGCCAGCAGCACAGGCCCUGGUGUGGUGAAGAUGGCCUCACAGGAAGCACAGGCCCUGGUGUGAUAUGGAUGGUAUCUGCCAGCACCACAGGCUCUGGUGAAAUGUAGAUGACGUCAGCCAGCAGCGCAGGCCCUGGUGUAAUGUGGAUGCCAUCAGCCAGCACCACAG